RNAcentral lists this ribosomal RNA (513 nucleotides) under uncultured bacterium. RNAcentral describes it as "partial 16S ribosomal RNA". It matches the Rfam family "Bacterial small subunit ribosomal RNA", at positions 28 to 507 of the family's 1533-position model. The record is from RNAcentral.
GACGAACGCUGGCGGCGUGCUUAACACAUGCAAGUCGAACGAAAAGAGGGAAAGAGCUUGCUCUUUCCGGAAUUGAGUGGCAAACGGGUGAGUAACACGUAAACAACCUGCCUUCAGGAUGGGGACAACAGACGGAAACGACUGCUAAUACCGAAUAAGUUCCAAGAGCCGCAUGGCCCAUGGAAGAAAAGGUGGCCUCUACCUGUAAGCUAUCGCCUGAAGAGGGGUUUGCGUCUGAUUAGCUGGUUGGAGGGGUAACGGCCCACCAAGGCGACGAUCAGUAGCCGGUCUGAGAGGAUGAACGGCCACACUGGAACUGAGACCCGGUCCAGACUCCUACGGGAGGCAGCAGUGGGGAAUCUUCCGCAAUGGGCGAAAGCCUGACGGAGCAACGCCGCGUGAGUGAUGACGGCCUUCGGGUUGUAAAACUCUGUGAUCCGGGACGAAAAGGCAGAGUGCGAAGAACAAACUGCAUUGACGGUACCGGAAAAGCAAGCCACGGCUAACUACGUG